RNAcentral lists this transfer RNA (76 nucleotides) under Hydrillodes lentalis. RNAcentral's name for it is "tRNA-Met". The record is from RNAcentral. Lineage: Eukaryota; Metazoa; Arthropoda; Insecta; Lepidoptera; Erebidae.
UUAAAAAUAAGCUAAUAUAAGCUUUUGGGUUCAUACCCCAAAUAUAAAGGAAGUCCUUUUUUUUAAAUUAUCAAUA